GACGUAGGGGGCGAGCGUUGUCCGGAUUUAUUGGGCGUAAAGCGUGCGCAGGCGGUUUUGUAAGCCAGAUGUGAAAUCCCCGGGCUUAACCUGGGAAUGGCAUUUGGGACUGCAAGGCUCGAGUGCGGCAGAGGAGACUGGAAUUCCUGGUGUAGCAGUGAAAUGCGUAGAUAUCAGGAGGAACACCGAUGGCGAAGGCAGGUCUCUGGGCUGACACUGACGCUCAUGCACGAAAGCGUGGGGAGCAAACAGG
RNAcentral lists this ribosomal RNA (253 nucleotides) under uncultured bacterium. Its description in RNAcentral is "partial 16S ribosomal RNA". It matches the Rfam family "Bacterial small subunit ribosomal RNA", at positions 524 to 776 of the family's 1533-position model. The record is from RNAcentral.